This 414-nucleotide ribosomal RNA is filed under the name uncultured bacterium. Its description in RNAcentral is "bacterial SSU rRNA". It matches the Rfam family "Bacterial small subunit ribosomal RNA", at positions 30 to 443 of the family's 1533-position model. The record is from RNAcentral.
AUUGAACGCUGGCGGCAUGCCUUACACAUGCAAGUCGAACGGCAGCACGGACUUCGGUCUGGUGGCGAGUGGCGAACGGGUGAGUAAUGCAUCGGAACGUGCCAUUGAGUGGGGGAUAACGUAGCGAAAGUUGCGCUAAUACCGCAUAUUCUGUGAGCAGGAAAGCAGGGGACCGCAAGGCCUUGCGCUCUUUGAGCGGCCGAUGUCAGAUUAGCUAGUUGGUGAGGUAAAGGCUUACCAAGGCGACGAUCUGUAGCGGGUCUGAGAGGAUGAUCCGCCACACUGGAACUGAGACACGGUCCAGACUCCUACGGGAGGCAGCAGUGGGGAAUUUUGGACAAUGGGGGCAACCCUGAUCCAGCCAUGCCGCGUGAGUGAAGAAGGCCUCGGUUGUAAGCGUACUUUCGGUCCGGG